CCCCUCCCAUUUUUCCCCUUCCGUUUCUCACACCCAACAUUCUAGUUUAGCCGCCCCCAAAUUCUAUCAUUUCAUAAGCCGGCGGCGGCUACCAUAAUUCCUCCAAACCCACCCAAAUCCUCAUCCUGUAUUCUUCUUCCCCUCAUCAUCCUAUAGCCCUUUUUGGUUUCCUUCAAAAUACCCUAGAACUCCUCUUUUUUCAGAUCUAAAAACGACCAGAAACGCUAGGCUUUGUUUCCAAUAUUCUCCGUUGAUUUUAACCUAUUUUGAGUUAAAACUAAUAUUAGCUAAUAAUUCUUGGCAAAGAUCCGUCAAUUAAUAUAAGUUCUAAUUUAUUUGGAAUCAUUGAAAUUCGGCCGAGCUUCAGAGAUCCGUUUCGGAAUCGUUCUUCGCUUUUCUCGAUAGGUAUAUUUCUUGUCCUCCUUGCCUUAUUCUGGUAUUUUUAUUCAUUCUAAAAAAUUUAAAGAAAAUAAUGUUUAUUUUAUUGGUUUAAUUUGUUCAACUGUUGUUCGGAUUAGACUUUUCUUUCUUUUUGAUUAAUUAACUAGCUAGAUUUUAGGUCAUAGCAUUAGUUUAAUUAUGUCUCUGAAUUUCUUUGAUUUAUUUGAUUGCUAUGUUUGGGUCUCCUAUUGGGCUUCUAUUGUCUUCGAUUUGGGCAGAAGAAGCCCAUUCGUUUGGGCCUGAGUCUUAGGGUCAGAUGGCCCAUGUUUGAUUUAGUUUGUGAAGUAAAUACAGUGGUGUUAGGGGGUUAUUUUGGACAUCUUAAGCUUGAAAAAUAUUUUCUGUUAGGGGAGAAUCUAGAGGAUAAGCUAAGGCCUGCAUUCCAAGAAAUAAAGAAAGCUCAGCUGUUUUCAUGGACUAUGAGGUGAAAUAACUAAGUUUAAAGGGGUAGAAAGGGGAAUUAGGGAAUCAGGAUAUGGCUGCCCUAGAAGUGCCUAUAUAAGGAUCUUUUUCCUCACUUAUUAGGGCAGAUUUCAGACCCUGAAAAUACUCCAAAAAAGUUCUGCACGGUUUCAUUAGGAGCUGGUUUUUAUUUCUUCUGAUUUUCUUUAGCAAGAAUUUAGAAAAACUUUCUUUGUAUUUCUGGUUUUCCGAUUCAAAAUUUGGAUUGAUAUUAGGGCUGUUGUUAGUUGAUAUUGUUGUUUUCAUUGGUGAAUUUCUUACUCCACUCUAUUCUUUGAUGUAUCUAGGUACUUCUCGAACUUUGAGUGGCCAUUGGAAUGCAAGCAUGUUCUUCUUUGUUUUCUCUUUGAAAGAUAUAUUUGUAAUAUGAAAUUCAUGUUUAGAUUUUAAGUUUCAGUUUAUCUUUAUAUGUAUCUCCUUGUCCCUGUGAUAAUUUUCUUUUCUUUUACUAUCUGUGUCUCCCUUCUCAAGCCACAUUUAGAGAACUUUUUUGUUGAUUUAACAUUUUGUAUCCAUAAUAUCGAAAAAAAUGUACAAGGUAGAGCUCUAGUAGUAGCUUUGACUUGCUACUACUCCUUUACAUCACAAUUAUCUCUAUUAAGUAUCUAACUGCUCUUCACUAAUUACAACUAAGUAUAGAAGUUAGCUAGUACAAAUCAUACUAUGGAAAACUAUUAAGUUGCCUCAAUCCAUUUUGUCAGCGACUACAAUCCCUUCCUCGAAUAUGGAUAUGUAAAACAACUUCUCUGCAAAUCUGAUUCCUCAUAGACUUUCUUUUCAAAUCUGAUACUGUUUCUCUCCCUCCAGAUUAAUGCAAUAGUACUGAUAAACACACUAGCUGUUAUAGCAUUUAAUCCCUGUUUGCUCUUUGCUUUGCUGUUUACCCAUUGCAGUUCAGUUUCCCAGUCUCCAACUAAUCUUUGAUGUCCCAGCCAUAAACAGAGUCUAGUCCACAGCUGUCUCGUAAUUGUG
This 1875-nucleotide long non-coding RNA is filed under the name Nicotiana benthamiana. RNAcentral's name for it is "long non-coding RNA (NBEN_LNC032403)". The record is from RNAcentral. Lineage: Eukaryota; Viridiplantae; Streptophyta; Magnoliopsida; Solanales; Solanaceae.